This 468-nucleotide ribosomal RNA is filed under the name uncultured bacterium. RNAcentral describes it as "partial 16S ribosomal RNA". It matches the Rfam family "Bacterial small subunit ribosomal RNA", at positions 28 to 507 of the family's 1533-position model. The record is from RNAcentral.
GACGAACGCUGGCGGCGUGCUUAACACAUGCAAGUCGAACGGAAAGGCCCUGCUUUUGUGGGGUGCUCGAGUGGCGAACGGGUGAGUAACACGUGAGUAACCUGCCCUUGACUUUGGGAUAACUUCAGGAAACUGGGGCUAAUACCGGAUAGGAGCUCCUGCUGCAUGGCGGGGGUUGGAAAGUUUCGGCGGUUGGGGAUGGACUCGCGGCUUAUCAGCUUGUUGGUGGGGUAGUGGCUUACCAAGGCUUUGACGGGUAGCCGGCCUGAGAGGGUGACCGGCCACAUUGGGACUGAGAUGCGGCCCAGACUCCUACGGGAGGCAGCAGUGGGGAAUAUUGCACAAUGGGCGGAAGCCUGAUGCAGCAACGCCGCGUGCGGGAUGACGGCCUUCGGGUUGUAAACCGCUUUCGCCUGUGACGAAGCGUGAGUGACGGUAAUGGGUAAAGAAGCACCGGCUAACUACGUG